Molecule: unclassified non-coding RNA, 378 nt
Filed under: uncultured delta proteobacterium
Lineage: Bacteria; Deltaproteobacteria
Description: contains 16S-23S intergenic spacer region
Source: RNAcentral
UCUGGCUUAUAGCCAAGCGGUCUCACUAGAGUGCCCAACUAAAUGAUGGCAACUAGUGACGAGGGUUGCGCUCGUUGCGGGACUUAACCCAACAUCUCACAACACGAGCUGACGACAGCCAUGCAGCACCUGUCACCGCGUCCCUUGCGGGAACUCCUGCUUUCACAGGAUAGCGCGGGAUGUCAAGCCCAGGUAAGGUUCUUCGCGUAGCAUCGAAUUGAACCACAUGCUCCACCGCUUGUGCGGGCCCCCGUCAAUUCCUUUGAGUUUUAAUCUUGCGACCGUACUUCCCAGGCGGGAUACUUAAUGCGUUAGCUGCGUUACCGACACAAUUAGGUAUGCCGACAACUAGUAUCCAUCGUUUAGGGCGUGGACUAC